GGUGGCUUAGUGGUAGAGCGCCUGCCUUGCAUGCAUGAGGCCCUGGGUUCAAUUCCUCAGCACCA
This 65-nucleotide transfer RNA is filed under the name Dipodomys ordii (Ord's kangaroo rat). It matches the Rfam family "tRNA". From Rfam's summary of the family: Transfer RNA (tRNA) molecules are approximately 80 nucleotides in length. Their secondary structure includes four short double-helical elements and three loops (D, anti-codon, and T loops). The record is from Rfam by way of RNAcentral. Lineage: Eukaryota; Metazoa; Chordata; Mammalia; Rodentia; Heteromyidae.